CGGACACCCCUGGAUAGACCUCGACGCUUUCAUUCCAGACAGUUCAGAACGUAACCUAGGGAAACAGACCACUCAUGGCUUCCCUUCUGACUCAGCACUGAGGAUUCUGACCAAUCUGAGCUGAGGAUUCUGGCCAAUCAACAUUUCUGGAUUCUUCUGUGAACCCCUAGCAUUUUCCUCCAGGUUUAACUGCUGAGGCUUUCCCAGGCUCCUUGCUCCAGUCCGGUCUCAGUCAGACACGUCCGUCUGCCCUCUAUAUUCCUCAGAACUGGGUGAGAGGCCACACGGAGCCAGCCAGUGGCAAGGUGUAACGGAAUGGACAACUAAGCAGCCUCCACCUCCACACUGCGUCCAUCACCAACUCAACGGGAAAGAAGAUACAAACGUCACAUAUUGGUAGAGGAACCAAGGGUAAAGACGCUUGCCACUGAGCCUGAGGACCUGAAUUCAAUCCCCGGGGACCCACACAUACACUGUAGAUACUCAUGCCCCAGCCCUAGCUCCCAAACAAAUAACUAAAUGUGAAAGAAAACAUAAAGUUCUCUUUC
Non-coding RNA from Rattus norvegicus (Norway rat), 548 nucleotides. Lineage: Eukaryota; Metazoa; Chordata; Mammalia; Rodentia; Muridae. The record is from RefSeq and is a predicted model, not a curated record.